UGGGGAAUAUUGCACAAUGGGGGAAACCCUGAUGCAGCAACGCCGCGUGAAGGAAGACGGUCUUCGGAUUGUAAACUCUUGUUCUUGGUGAAGAAAAAUGACGGUAGCCAAGGAGGAAGCCACGGCUAACUACGUGCCAGCAGCCGCGGUAAUACGUAGGUGGCAAGCGUUGUCCGGAAUUACUGGGUGUAAAGGGAGCGCAGGCGGGAAAUCAAGUUGGAUGUGAAAUGUCGGGGCUUAACCCCGGAACUGCAUCCAAAAACUGAUAUUCUUGAGUGAAGUAGAGGUAGGCGGAAUUCCGAGUGUAGCGGUGAAAUGCUUAGAUAUCACGAAGAACUCCGAUUGCGAAGGCAGCUUACCGUAGCGUUACUGACGCUGAAGCUCGAAAGUGCGGGU
Molecule: ribosomal RNA, 396 nt
Filed under: uncultured Eubacterium sp.
Lineage: Bacteria; Bacillati; Bacillota; Clostridia; Eubacteriales; Eubacteriaceae
Description: bacterial SSU rRNA
Rfam family: Bacterial small subunit ribosomal RNA
Source: RNAcentral